AGAUGGGCUGGCGGACAUUGGGGGGCCCGGGGCAGGCACUGACCCCCUCCUGCUCCCCAGCUGCUGGUGGAGAGCAGCGCCCAGCGCCUGGUGCACCUGGCCGCGCAGUGGGAGACGCGCCGGGGGCCCCUCAUGGAUCAGUAUCGUCACCUCCGCGCUGCCCGUCACUCCCGCCAGCUGGAGUCAACACGGCGCGUCUCGGAGAUCCAGGCCCUGAACGAGCGCGGCCGGAGCGCGGCCACCGAGGCCCGGCGCAAGGAGGAGCUGUGCCGGCAGCUGCUGACAGAGCUGGAGUCGCUCCCCAAGGAUGUGUCACGGGCGGCCUACACCCAGCGCAUCCUCGAGAUCAUCGGCAACAUCCGCAAGCAGAAGGAGGAGAUCACGAAGGUAACGGGGGGGUCCCCCGGGGCCAUGGGCGUCGAGCUCUUCUCCAUGCUGGGGGGGGGCUCCCCCUGGCAGCGGUAGCAGAUCUCUCCCCCGGCCCCCCAGAUCCUGUCGGACACGCGGGCCCUGCAGAAGGAGAUCAACAGCCUGACCGGGAAGCUGGACCGGACCUUCGCCGUCACCGACGAGCUGGUCUUCAAGGUGGGGGGCCCUGGGGGACACUCCCCUGGGGGUUACUGGGGGGAGGGGUGUGGGGAAAUGGGGGCU
This 651-nucleotide long non-coding RNA is filed under the name Chelonoidis abingdonii (Abingdon island giant tortoise). RNAcentral describes it as "lncRNA (ENSCABG00000015461.1)". Lineage: Eukaryota; Metazoa; Chordata; Testudines; Testudinidae. The record is from RNAcentral.